This 561-nucleotide ribosomal RNA is filed under the name uncultured bacterium. RNAcentral describes it as "bacterial SSU rRNA". It matches the Rfam family "Bacterial small subunit ribosomal RNA", at positions 509 to 1048 of the family's 1533-position model. The record is from RNAcentral.
CAGCAGCCGCGGUAAUACGGAGGGUGCGAGCGUUAAUCGGAAUUACUGGGCGUAAAGCGCGCGUAUGCGGUCUGAUAAGCCGGCUGUGAAACCCCCGGGGCUCCACCUGGGAACGGCAUCCGAGAACUUGUCAGGCUCAAGUGCGAGAAGAGGAAGGUAGAGUAGCGGGGAGAUAUGCGUGUAAUUGCGUAGAGAUCGGGGAGGGAAUGCCGGCUGUGCGAGAGUGAGGCCUUCUGGAGUGACACUUGACCGUCUGAGGUGCGAAAGGCUGUGGGUAGCAAACAUGGAUUAGAUACCCUGGUAGUCCACGCCGUAAACGAUGUCAACUAGCCGUUGGGCUCCUUGAGAGCUUUGUGGCGCAGUUAACGCGAUAAGUCGACCGCCUGGGGAGUACGGCCGCAAGGUUAAAACUCAAAUGAAUUUGACGGGGGCCCGCACAAGCGGUGGAGCAUGUGGUUUAAUUCGAUGCAACGCGAAGAACCUUAACUACCCUUGACAUCGUGGCGAACUUUCCAGAGAUGGAUUGGUGCCUUCGGGAACGCACAGACAGGUGCUGCAUGG